This 722-nucleotide ribosomal RNA is filed under the name Bacillus anthracis (anthrax bacterium). RNAcentral's name for it is "bacterial SSU rRNA". It matches the Rfam family "Bacterial small subunit ribosomal RNA", at positions 48 to 750 of the family's 1533-position model. Lineage: Bacteria; Bacillati; Bacillota; Bacilli; Caryophanales; Bacillaceae. The record is from RNAcentral.
GCUAUACAUGCAAGUCGAGCGAAUGGAUUAAGAGCUUGCUCUUAUGAAGUUAGCGGCGGACGGGUGAGUAACACGUGGGUAACCUGCCCAUAAGACUGGGAUAACUCCGGGAAACCGGGGCUAAUACCGGAUAACAUUUUGAACCGCAUGGUUCGAAAUUGAAAGGCGGCUUCGGCUGUCACUUAUGGAUGGACCCGCGUCGCAUUAGCUAGUUGGUGAGGUAACGGCUCACCAAGGCAACGAUGCGUAGCCGACCUGAGAGGGUGAUCGGCCACACUGGGACUGAGACACGGCCCAGACUCCUACGGGAGGCAGCAGUAGGGAAUCUUCCGCAAUGGACGAAAGUCUGACGGAGCAACGCCGCGUGAGUGAUGAAGGCUUUCGGGUCGUAAAACUCUGUUGUUAGGGAAGAACAAGUGCUAGUUGAAUAAGCUGGCACCUUGACGGUACCUAACCAGAAAGCCACGGCUAACUACGUGCCAGCAGCCGCGGUAAUACGUAGGUGGCAAGCGUUAUCCGGAAUUAUUGGGCGUAAAGCGCGCGCAGGUGGUUUCUUAAGUCUGAUGUGAAAGCCCACGGCUCAACCGUGGAGGGUCAUUGGAAACUGGGAGACUUGAGUGCAGAAGAGGAAAGUGGAAUUCCAUGUGUAGCGGUGAAAUGCGUAGAGAUAUGGAGGAACACCAGUGGCGAAGGCGACUUUCUGGUCUGUAACUGACACUGAG